ACGUCAGCUCUUACACCGGCGUCACCAGCCAGGGGUGCAGACCCAACCCCAGCUCAUGGGAGAAGCCCUCACCGCUAAAACAGGGGUAUUUAAAUUAGGGAGUACUUAAGGAAAGAAAGCACAGUGCAAGUUCAAACGGCCCGAGGGAAUGUCGGUGCCAAGCAGGGAGAAGCACCGUUGCACACAGUGGUGUAGCCGUGCAGGACCGGGGACCGCGUGGUGGUGCCGGCAGCCCCACAGGAAGACCGGAGCUGAGAUGCCGCACGCCACCUCGCCGGGCGGUGUGGGUCUCGGCCCAGGCAGCUCUGCUCAGCCGAGGCUCAGAGGACGUGUGGAGAGAAAUUACAAUUAAGCAAGCCGUGCAUAUGAAAAUAGGCCUGGAACAUGCUGUAGUCACCACCACAGUCUGGAGAUUUCAGCAAUAAUUGCAGGGUAACUGUGCUGCUCCUCUGCUGCCGGGCUCCAGUUCCAGGGAGGGAUUUAUCUUGGCAGUGCUGUGGCUCGGGUCCCCAGCCUGCCACAUCUGGAGUUGGAUGGACAGAGUUAUAUGGCACUGGGAAUCAAGUGUGCUAGUCUGGAGAGCCCUGAAGACUGACAUCCGAAGAUAUUACCUGGAAAAUGGCCUCUCAGCCAAUACAGAGGAAGAAGCUACUUGCACACUGUUAGCAGUCCCCACUGCUCUCUGCCUGUGUCCUGAAUUGCAUCGUGUGCUUGUUGGCUCAAGCUAAAGAUCCACUGCACUGCACGUUUGAAGGAAGAGAGUACAUGAAAGGCACUAGGUGGUGGACAGCAAGGUCGUGAGCUGGCAGUGAUGGCAUUACCUCCAGAACUGGUCACUAACGAAGGUAAUUAAUCAUGUUUAGAGAUAAGACCUUUGGCUAAUCCAUAUUUUUUUUGUGUCGUCAGUAGGAUCUGGACAUAGUGCUCGUUCCGAUUGGUGCUGGCUUUGUGAGGAGUGGACACUUCCAAGGCAGAGAGAGAACUGAAAUCCGGGACGAUCUGUGGCAUCUGGGAGCCUGUGUGGAUUCCCGCUCCCAGGAGGUGUCCGAGGCAGUGGCCCUCCCUCCUCCAGGACUGCACAGGGGCAAUAGCAGCCGCAGCUGCAAAAUGAGCUCUCUUUAGCGGUUAGAGCUGACGGGGCCUUUUUAGGAGUGGGAGAUGUGAAAGUUGCCUGCCUUCUGCAUUUGCAAAAUGAGGGAGAAAAAGGCAAGGUAUUUGCAGAUCCACCCAGAAGGAAUUCAUAAUAGGGCUAAUAUCUGGGAAGACAGUUAAUCCUUCACUUGCCUAAAAGCCUUUUGUAACUGAAGGACCUCUAACUUGGUUUCCAGGACAUGUCUCGGUAGUUAGAAAUACCUUGGUUAGACCCUUGGUCUCAGCUCUGCUGGCCUGGGAAGCACCUUCGUAGGCACGUGAUAGAGUUUACAACAGCUUUGGCUCAUGUAGGCAAGAAGCAGCUGUUCUCCUGCCACGUCUCACUGUAACGCUGAGCUUGAUUAAACUGUGAACAUUGACGCUGUUUCUGCUUCCAAUUCAAGCUGAUCUUUAAGCUUUGGUUUUGAAAUGUCACCCUGGCAGAAGGCAAGAAAAAACACCAGAAAAUAUCUUGAGAAGUUUUUAAUCUCUUUUCAUUCCUUAAUUAGCAUUCUCCUCCCUCCCUACUCAAGGACAAUAAUUAUUUGUUUUAUUCUUUUUCUGUAAAAAUGAAGCAUGAGAAAAGUAGGUAUUAUCCUAUUCCAACAUCUGCUUGGGAUUUACAGUGCAUAUUGAGUAUGUUAUUUUUAUCUUCCUCACUUGUCUUGCUCGUAGCGAACUCAGUUGUCUACAAGUGUGAUCCAAAGAUACUGCACACCAUGAAAGCACUGGGAAUUUUUCACAUUUGAUUCGAUUCAGACUAAGAAUUUUCUUUAUUUUCAUUGCUUGUGUGUGUUAUCUGAGACAAACUAAGUUAGUUCCUUAACUGGUGGAUAAUAGUGGAGCUCUGCUAAUUGCUAGAGGCCAAGACCUCCUGCUUAUGGAAACAGCCAUUAUUUGUCUGAUUUUAAUCUGAUCAGCUCUUCUGUGACUGCUGUCAGUAUUUCCAGUGAAGAACAAAAUCUGAAUGUUUAUCAUCUCCCCUCAAUUUAUACUGGGUUAUUGCUGGGAUUUGCUGGUCCAAACCCCUCCAGCUAUGCAGAUCAGUAUCAGGAUUUUGUGUCUCAAGCCUCUGUUUACCUGAACUGGGCCUCUGCAUGACACAAUUACAUGACUCAAAAAAUCUUUCCUCGUUUAAUCCCCAAAUCUACCUUUUCAUGUUAUUUACCUAACAGGGUUGACCUGCAGUCAUUCCAAUGACAGCUGGAACGUCUCAGUGUCUAAUAAGGCCUCGGCUCUUGGUAAAGCAUUGUAUAUUUGGGACUUUGAAACAGAACAGUUUCUUUUUCUUCUCCUAGUUUGCAUAAGGAAUCAGUACUACAGUGCUUUGUUUUAUGAGGCCAAUAAAUUAAAACUUUCUUUCUACGUUCUGUGGAAAGACAAAAAGUUGUUAUUAUUCUUGCAAAACCACAUUAAACAGAAAGCAACAGCAACCAGAGUAUUGCUGACAUUGCUUAAUGAAAACCAGAGCUUUCCAGUGGAAAACACACUGGGAAGGACAGCUUCAAUUAGAGGAAAGGAGAGAUUAAAGACCUUUCAUUUAUACAACUGAGGGAAGGAAUGUGAAAGAAUGGGUUUGAAGAAGGGUCUAAUUGAAGGAUAAAAUGGAAACUGUAAAUGGCUUACGAUAAGAUCAGUAAGCAGAGACAGUGCAGCCAAUAUUGCUGGGAAUAUUUGUAGAAGUUCAUAAAAUCCCUAAAAGCCAGUUCAAUCUGGAAGAGACAGAUGCAGAGGAAAUAGCCCAAGAAUUGCGAACAUGUAGAAAUCCUACUGGAUGAAGACAAAAGGUUUGAAAAGGAAGAAUAUCAGUCGUUUGAAAAACAAUUGAAAAACAAUUUGCACAUUAAAAAAUGUUCACUGAAAUGGAAGGAGAGUCAGGAAGAUCAAGACCUUUUUCUAAAAGCAGGAAUGAAUGAAAUUUGAUGGCAUUCGUACUCUGAAGAUAUACCAGUAGUCACAGAAAAUUGGUCAUUUUGAUAGAGAAAAUCUGCAGAAUCUGUGAAACUUGAAACUACUAUAACCAUGUGGCAUAUUUCUUCUUAACACAUUGUAUAAAGGAGCUUUCACUUAGACAAGUAUGCUUUUAAUUAAUUUAAAUUGUUAAUUCAGCCAGGGACUAAGAACAAGGGUAGUGGGGAGGGAAGCAGGAUGAAGGAAAUUAUUUCAGCUUCGAAGAAUGUUCAGCUGCAUUAACAACAACAAAAGAAACACGAUACCAAAAAGAGGAGGUUUUCUGCAAGGGCUUCCUCAUUCUCUCUAGGUUUUUCGUAACAGCUUAAACAAUUGAACCUUUACGUUUGCAGCUUCUCUGGCUUUGACACGGGGCUAACUGAGGUUGUUCUCAGCAGGACCUGUCGAAGCCCUGUCUUUCCCCGCCGCCUGGUUGUCCUUGCUGACCGUUUCUGCAUGUUCCCGAUGCCACCAGGCCGCUGGUUGCAUUGCAGAGCAGCUCCGUCUGCACAGUCUGCCACAUUUCUUCCAGUGCCGUCUUUUUUCGCCACUCACUGCUUGACUACUGUCUGUGGAUAAUUGCUAUCAUGUCUUGCAGCUAAUAUUGCCAUCUCCUGCCAGUGAUCCUUUUAUUCAUUCUGUGGUCUCCCUGACUGUGUCUGCCCUCUUGAGAUGCCGUAUAUUUCCCAUUUCUUUUCUCUCUUUGUUUUCAACAACCGCCUGCCCCAUCUUCGCAGCACACAUUUGUCCUUGUCACUUGUUCCUUCCCUCUGUCUACACUUAUUCCACCAGCUUUGCUUCUAUCUCAGCUACUAAAAGUGCUGAGGCUAGUGCUGUAUGCAUACAUACAUACAUCUCUCUCUAUAUAUAUAUAUAUGUAUGCAUAUAAAUGUGUAUGUAUGUAAUCUAUCUAGGCCAUGCCACCUCGCCGCCCCUUUCUGAAGGCAGGUAUUUCCGAGCUGGGUGCUUGGCCACACACAGCCCCAUGCCAUGGUGGCACAAGGGGAACUUGCCCCUGGAAAGGGUAUUGCAGGGUAAUGCAGGUCAGUCCUCAGAAACAGGAGCAGAAGUAUGCAAAGAAGUUUGGUUGGUGCCUGCCUGUGCUUUGUCUAGCUCUUCCCAAUGCCCAGGGUCCAUUUAUUUCAGCAGUACUUAAAAUCUCUUUAAAGCAUUUAUAAAUCUUUAUUGGGUGUUUCCAAGAGACAUGCAUAAUAUAAUUGGUGUAACAGUAAAUCUGCUAUGACGUGUUUAUAAAUGCAGCCUUUAGCUUCUCUGUAAAGUUCAGAAUUUCCUUUUGAACAACGUAAGUUUAUACAGAGGUAGAAAUGCAAACCAGAAGAGCUAGGUCAUUGUGGGAGAAGUUCCGUUUUCACCUGAAGUAAAUGAUCCCGGAGUGACAUCCUUAGGAAAGGAUUGUUGACACUGUGGUUUCUCUUUGGGUCAAACUCUGCCUCGGUGAGGCACUAGGGAAUGUUUCCAUUGCAGCAGUAGAGCUAUGGAGAGCUAACCAAAUUAAUUAGCCCUGUUAAGCAACAAGGUACAUUCACCCAGACUGAGCUGUAUACUCAUGUGAUUUUUAACUGAGCUGCUUAGCUUCCUUGGUACAGCUCUGUGGCACGUAGACACACUCUGAAUGAUCUACGUAAAAUGGCUGGUUACUAUUGCCAUUUUUUCCCAGUGUGGUAAGCCAACGCCAAAGAGCCACAUGAGGAACUUGCGAUCCUGGCCGUGAUGUACAAGACAGCCCAGACCUGCUCUCCAUGGACACCUGCCUCUGGUUGGCUCUGGAAACCUACCAGGACACACCGUCCUUUACACACACUCCAGACAGGUGAUUUCUACCUCCUUUCUUCUUAAGGACAUUUAGUUUGAUUAAUGUUCUGAAAUGUGGAGUAAUGCAAUGGAUAAAGACAAUCACAACUUCAAUUGCUGCAAUAGCUGCAGUCACUCUCUGUUCAGACAGGUAGGUCCAUCCACCACUAGGCAGGGGAAAUGGGCAGAGGUCCCACUCUCUCUGCUCACCAUUAUGGAUGACCAAGCAGAGGGAGAUGAGUGGUACUUUCCUGCUGGUAUGGAGGCCAGCAGUAGUGUUGCUCAUGAAUCUUCCCAGAAACACCUUUUGCACUUUUCUACUGACUUACAAAUUAGAAAAGUUUCAGCAGUUAUUUGACCAUGACAAGAAAACAUCUCUGGGACCUUAAACUUGUGUGUGUUGGAGAAAGUGAAUUCCUAGGCAAUUCUGACCAGAACAAUACCAUUACGUCCUUCCAUCACCUCCAUCCUGCCGAGGAUAGUAACUAGGUGCAUCCAUACUGCAGAAAUCCUAGAGAAGCGUGGCGCCCUCAGGCAAAAUCCUGUGUGGGCAAGAGCUGUCACUCAUGCAACCCCCUUUGCUCAGGUCUGGGUUUAAGAUCACAAAAUAGUUGCCCUGGUUGCAGACUGUUGUGACAUCAACUUUCUAGCAUGGCUGACAAAUAUGCAAGGAAUUUGUGAGGUUCCUGCUUGGUGCCCAUGCUCUUCUAUGAGCUUUCUCCUCCUUGUCAGCCUUCAACAUCCAGCACGUUCCUUGUGGUAUAUUUUAUACUAAAUUUGUCCUCUAGUCAAAUAAAUUUAAAAAAUGAAAUUUGGCUAUCACAGAGUUCAUUUACACUCAUCUGUUCCUCAGUCACUGAAGAUGCAAAUUGGGCAGCAAAGAGACAGUUGAUGCUAUUUUAUAUGAAACGUGUGUAUGUACCUGUGCUUCUACUCAGUUAAAAUGACUGCACUAGCUACUGUGAGGAGAGGCUUCAUUGUGAUAUAUGUUAUAUAAAUAUGUCUUUAGAAACUGCAGCUUGAACAGCCAACUCUGAAAUUGUAAUAAACCAGAUUCUGCCCACAUUGUAUGAACUGAUUCUUCAGCUUUUACUUUGUUUAGACAAGGUAGUGUUGAAAGUAUCUUUUAAC
Dromaius novaehollandiae (emu) is the source of this 6024-nucleotide long non-coding RNA. RefSeq lists it as uncharacterized. The record is from RefSeq and is a predicted model, not a curated record. The transcript is spliced from 4 exons. NCBI's taxonomy places the organism in Eukaryota, Metazoa, Chordata, Aves, Casuariiformes, Dromaiidae.